CGGUGACUAGGCGCCCAGCACAGCGGUUUUGCGUAGCUCUGUAGCCAGCCCAGCGCAGCCGUUGCCCUGUCCUCGCUGGACCGCCCCCCUCGACGAUCGUCCCCGUCGACCGCAUCCUUCCCCAUCGCAUCCACGCCGAGGUAAACUCGCCCCCACCCUCCUUAUUCCCCCACUUCCCCAGUCGAGACCUCGCCGUGUGCGGCCCAGUCGUGGCCAUCGCGGCUCGCCUGAGCGCGACCAAGUGUGCCCUGCGGCCCUAGCGUGCGGCGCCGGCCAACCGUCGCGAUAGCCUCCCCCUCCACGCACCAUCGAUCCCAGCCCGCUGCCGCUUGCUAGCAUGUGUCGUCCGACUGCGAGCAGCCAUGUUGCUAGCCCCACUCCCCGCAAGCCACCUCGCUGCGCCUAGCCACGCUGCCCCUGCACGAUGUCGAGCAGCCCCGCGAGCCCUCGUUCGGCGAGCAGGAUCGCCAUCGCCUAGCCCGGCCGCCGGUGAUCUCCAACGCACCCUGCGCUCGUGCUGGCCGGCGAGCCGCUCUGAGGACGAAGGCCUGGCAUGGCCGAGGAGGGCCACUGCCGAAGCCCCUGUGGCUCCCCUGCCACCCACGCACCAGUGCAGCCCGCGCUAUCGGCUAGAGCCUCGUCACGCUUCGUCGACCCGCCUCGCCGCCCGCCGUUGUCGCAAGGUGAGCUUCGUCUUCCCCUUGCGCGCAACCCCGUCACACCCUCGCUGUCGCAUCAUUCGCGUCGCGCAGCACGUCUGUUUUACGCGCAAUUCACGGGGUGUCGCACAUGUCAUCAUGCGUCGUCCGCAUGCUGCCCGUGCGCGUCGUCGUUCGCGUAAAUCGUUGUUUGCGCGCUUUAGUAAAAUCAUUUCGCUAUAUCGUUCACAUUAAAUAAUUGAUUACUUGUUUAGUUGUGUAUUAUUAAAAUAACAAUUCAAUCGAACCCAAUUAAUGAUUUUAAUGAUGCGUUUGUAGAUACCUGUUAGUGUGUGUACGCCAACUUAAAUGUUGUGUUUAACGCGUAGUUAGGAUGAAUACGACAUAAUUUAGCAGUACUCGUGUAUCACGUUGUUUAUAAGUUUAUUAUAGGUUUAAAUGUAUUAAGUCUCAUGCGGCAUAACUCGUUCGGUCACGUCAACUCUAGCGGCGUCAAUUUUAUAUUAGGAACAUUGUUUGAUAGCGACACAUGUUUUUUUUAAAUUAAUAAAUUAAUUAUUUACCUAUUAGUUAUUAAAAUAACUAAUUUUUUAUUUUAACUUACGCUUUAUAAAUAUAUGAUAGUGUGAUUAAUGACUACACAAAUGUCUUAAAUUUAAUACUUGUCUAGUAUAGAGGCGACAUCUAUGUAGUAGUUCUCGUUUACGCGUCAGCGUGCUAUUCGCGCGCGUAGUCGCGUUGACUCGCGUGUGUCGCACGCUGUUGUGCGCGUUAUUUCGCGUACGCGCAGCGUGUUGUCGGGGUCCCGACGACAUCCGUCUACCCCCUAGACGACUCCCGUCUACCCCCCCUCCUACCUCGUCUAUUCCCCGGCGCUAAUUAAUUUCCUAUUUAAUUGUCGGUCAAUCGGACUAAAAUUAUGAUUUUAGUUAGGCGAUUGUAAAUAUGUGAUGAUGUGAUUUUAACAACUCAGAUGUGGUAUUUAAUACCUAUUUAGUGUUUAGUAUAAAUGUGUCACCUAUUUAGUUUUCCUCGCCUCUCGCGCGUGUCGUUCCGUACGCGGUGGCGUGCUCGUUCGCUCGUCGUUCGCUCUAGUCGCGCGUACUAUCUAGUGCGUUGUUUUGCGCGUUGUCCGCAUGCUAAGCUAUGCGUGUCCGCGCAUCGUUUGCACGUUAUCGUGUUGUUCACGGCUUCACACGUCGUAAAUUCGUCUCGCUUAGAAUUCCUCGUUUUAAUUAAAAUUACUUAAUUAACUGACAUUUGUUAGUGCAGCAGGCUAAUCGAAACUAAAAGUUAGAUAUUAUUUAUAUUUGAUAGGAUAAUGUCAAUUCAUGUAAUUAUAAUUAUGUCGAACUAAUAUUCUAAUUAAUACUUGCUUAGUGUAAAACACGUUAGCUUUUCGACUGUGGUCUCGACCAUGGUGUUUCUUUUUCCUCGCGUGACCGUGGUAACACGCUCUAAUUCGUUUUGUAUGUUUUAUUACGUUGGUAUUUGUAUGGUGUAAUGUUCUUAUACAUAUAUGUGUUUGCUUGCUUGUGUCUAUUUGUCUUCGCUUCGCGUUGCGAUUAGAGUGCGAUCCAUCUCCAAGCUUCGAGGGAUCGAAGAUCAAGCGUUGGCGGCCAAGUGAUCAAGCUCUCUGAGUUCUAGAAGGUUGAAGACCCUGAGCAUCUGUUUGGUGAAGGCAAGUGUCCUUUGACCUAUUAUGUCCCAUUUACUUUAUAAUUCAUCAACCCGCAUAUCAUGAUCAACCUAAGGAUUGACUAGCUUUGUAUUUACCUUGUCCUUGCUUACCUUUUGGGUUAUUAUGGUUAGCAUUUUGCUAUUGCCUUAACUUAAUCAAUGAACAUGAUGUGACUAUUUAUGAUACUGUUAUCUUGAUUAUACUGUUGAUCUUGUGAUACUCUAGGGGGCUCAGGCUGUUUCCUGAGUACCUCUCCGUAAGGACCUGUUCGUUGAGAGACCACCCGGGAUAACAGUGCAACCAUGAGGGUGGAAUGGGGUGCCCUUAGCUAAUUAAUUAGAGGAACUAGAAGUGUAGUUGCUUCGCCGUCGUGCCGUCAAUGGGGUCCAGGCACAGUGCUUGCUCUGCCGAGGCUGAGUGCCGAGGUUCUUUCGUUUUGUCUUUUUUAGUCACCCUCCUGCGGGGAGAGGUACUGUGUUUAUCAAACUGGAGAAACCUAACGGGCAGCUAUGACCUCUAGGGAAUCUUUGUAAAGGCUUCGUAGCGAAUCCCUGGCCAUUCACCUUGGGAGUGAAUAAGGGCCUUGCAAGCCCGGGCUAGAGAGGGAAUCACGGCUCAUGGGUAAUGAAACUGAUAUAUCAGCCGUGCUCACGGUUAAGAGCAGCCUUGGGAUCCUCUUUGAUUAGAGAUACAUAUGAUCCGAGAUACAAUGGUUAUGUUUAUGGUUUUUGUUCGACUAUGAUGCUGAUGUUCCUCGAUGAGGAAAUGGUUCACAGGUUUGUUAUUACUAAAAUUUGGCUUCCACUGAUAAUAAAUACCUGACCAACUAAAAGCAACUGCUUGAGCUUAACCCCACAUAAAGCUAGUCCACCUCAGCCAAACGGGACAUUUGCUGAGUACGUUGAUGUGUACUCACCCUUGCUUUCACAAAACACCAGGUUGCCUUUGGUGCAAUCUAUGUUCAGGUAAAGAAGAAGGCGUCGAGGCGGAUCUCUAGGAGUUCCGGGACUUCGACGAGUUCGAGGAUUAGGCUAGCGACCACCCCCAGUCAGCUGCCUGUGGUGGGUUUAUUUACGUUGGCUACGUUUCUAUUCUGUGUACUUUGAUUAUAUUAUGUAAAUGACUCUAGUCUUUU
RNAcentral lists this long non-coding RNA (3475 nucleotides) under Zea mays. RNAcentral describes it as "long non-coding RNA (ZMAY_LNC000946)". Lineage: Eukaryota; Viridiplantae; Streptophyta; Magnoliopsida; Poales; Poaceae. The record is from RNAcentral.